RNAcentral lists this long non-coding RNA (212 nucleotides) under Elaeis guineensis (African oil palm). Its description in RNAcentral is "long non-coding RNA (EGUI_LNC047242)". Lineage: Eukaryota; Viridiplantae; Streptophyta; Magnoliopsida; Arecales; Arecaceae. The record is from RNAcentral.
GCCUUUGAUUUUUGAUUCCAGAGUUCAUUUGGAAUAUUUUGGACUAUUACCGACUCUGUCAAACUCAGCUUGCUCUGAAUUCUAUUCGAAUCCUUAUUACCUUUGUCUUGUUGUGUCAUAUGAUUCCGACCAAUUUCAAACUAUCUCUCUUUCAUGAUUUCUUUGUUCUUCACCCUCAUCCAAAUGCUGAGGGUUGGUGGUUCUUCAACCUG